GGUGGUUCUUGGGAGAUGUAACCUGGAAUCAGGGGGCUCCCUCCUGUAUGGUUCUGGGUGCAUCACCCGAGAACCACU
Molecule: non-coding RNA, 78 nt
Organism: Myotis lucifugus (little brown bat)
Lineage: Eukaryota; Metazoa; Chordata; Mammalia; Chiroptera; Vespertilionidae
Source: Rfam